This is an RNA transcript of Rhipicephalus sanguineus (brown dog tick), 3250 nucleotides long. It is a transcript of the gene named nucleolar protein dao-5, with no coding region annotated. The transcript has 5 exons. The record is from RefSeq and is a predicted model, not a curated record. NCBI's taxonomy places the organism in Eukaryota, Metazoa, Arthropoda, Arachnida, Ixodida, Ixodidae.
UACUUUAGUUUUGAGUUGUACAAGUUUUCCUUGUUUGUACGCUACUUUAUAUGUAACCGACUGGUGGUUGCGAUCAGGUUUUACGAACCAGUGCCAACUGAAAGCGGCGAAAUGCUUCGUGAGCGAUGGAGAAGCGGGGUGACUUCAUGACCAGGAUUCGCUGACCAAGUGCAGCCUUUUACCGCCGUCACGAUGGCAACGGCUUUCGGUGAGGUCAACGAGACUCCGCUGAUGUUUUCGCGGAGUAGCUCGCUCGGAUCUCUCAGCAGUUUGGAUCGACAAGCUGCACUCAAUGCCCACAACCUCGCUGUAAAUCAAAGCCAACAUACAAGUGGAGCUGUCUCUCCCAGUGACCUACCUGACUCUCCAAGUCAAACAAUGCCACCAAGCCCUCGCCAUAGAUCUCCUGAACCUGCUUUCCGGCUUCCCCCGUGCAGAAAACCGAUCCCACAGCCAAUUGGUGGUGUGUUCCAAGACUGCCCGCGAAGUUUUGCAGAAGAAGGAACUCCUUGCCGCAUGUCACAGGCCACCAGCCUUAGUUCUCUCACUCAAGAUGACGAUGCCAAUAACAUUGAAAAAAUGCUCCAACACGACGAUGAGCACGAAGCAUUUCAAGAGAGCAGCUUUGAAGAAGAGCGUGAAGAACAGGCGCAGUUUGUGGAUGACACAUACUACAAGCGGAAGCACCUGCAAGGUCGCUCUCAUCUGCCAUCUCGCAGUGUUACCAACAUUGGUGAAGGUGCAGUCGAAGUGUUUGCAGACACAACACGGCAGUAUGCCCAUGAAGGCACACCACGCGGCUACUCCAGACCCGAGAGUCCCUGUUCAUUAACUAACGAGAACAACGUCAGUUCGCAAAAUGUCGUCCCUGAUUGGGAUGAUGACUACGAAAUGACGCCUCAUCAAAAAAAGCAGCCUGUGCCUUUUGAUAGUAGUCACAGCCGUAGAUGGAGCGGUGAACGAGUCCAGAAAUCUCAUGUCACACACAAGCAUGUCUCAUUCAAUGACGACUGUGUCAUGCGCCCGUCGCAUGAAGACGCUGCUGUGCCUUACUUUGCCGAGGAUUGUGUUCGUGUGUAUUGCACGGAAGGUACGCCAUCUGUUCUUUCCCACGCACCUUCCCUCAAUGACCUGGGCAGUGCUAAAUCCUGGCCUAAUCCGCAGAGUGCAGUUGACGACAUGCUUGAAGUCUCGCCUGAUGGUUGUUGUAGGCCUUCAUCCCAAAGCAACCAGGCAAGUCCCAAGCCACAGGGAUGCCAUGAACAUGCAUCACUGAAUGAUGACUGUCAUCUCCAGUCCCCACAUGAAACGGAGUCACCAUCUUUUGAAGAAGAUUGUCUUCGUGUGUACUGCACAGAGGACACGCCGUCAUUACUUUCCCAUUCUGCAUCAUUCACUGACCUCAGUAUAGGUCACGACGAUAGUAAGAAUUGGGAAUCAGCUGAGCACUCUCCGAAGCCGCCUUGUAUCAAAUCAGAAGCCCUUAUCGAUGUUUCUGAUGAGGAGGAAGGGAGCGCUGAUCUCAUAGUGCAGUGUAUUCAGCUGGGCUGGCAAGUCUCACAAUCAUCAAAUUGUCAUUCAAAGACUAAAAGCUGGAGCGGAGCUCCAGAGGACAGUAUUACUAUAAAUGCACCAGUGCCAAAACCAAGGAGUAUAAACAGUACACCAGGGAAAGCUGCAUCUGCUGCCAAUAAAAGCAGCUCAUCGUCACCUUUGCCAUCUAGUCAUGUAACCUGUCAAAGUAAAUUACAGCAUACCGUUGAGGAUAGUGCCUUGCCAAAGGAAAUGCCAUCACACAAAUUCAGCUUGGUACUUGCCAGGCAGAGCUCAAGUGUGAGCAGUCUUGUUGAAAGAACCUCCCCAAAGCUCACUUGGAAGAGCAAUAGCAUUGGGAAUGUAGGUGAACUAAACAAUCACCUCGGAGGCUGUUCUGUUGCUCUGCAGAGCCAUUCGGAUGUCAGCCAGCCCUCGUGUACACAAAACUUCAGUUCGAACCCUUGUGCAAACCGGAGCAAUAGCAUGCAUGGCAGCUUGGAUCAAACAGAACCGCUAUGUCAAGAUAGCAGUGAUGAAGAAGAUGAUGCCCGUUUGUUGCAGGAAGUUGUGAUGAUGGGAAGGGCGCUAGCUGGAAACCCUGAAUUAUCUGUAGGCAUGGCAUCUCCAAGCACACAAUCACCCAAGGUGCCUCCUCAGUCGGAUAUGCAGUCCUCGCCUUCAAGCACGCCUUUUGUUUCAGUGGCAAGCCCUUUGAGACCACAUCAGUAUGCUCAAGACACCAGGCAUGGUGUUGCUUUGAAUAUAGUGAGCGUUAAAGAUAACACAGUGAAAGUUCCACAUGUGUCCCCUAGUCAUGUUUGUUCCAAAUCUGGAGGUAGCAAUUUUCUGGAUGACAGUAUGCACCUGUCUGAAAGUAGUGAUGAAGAGCAGGACAGCAAGAUCUUGCUUGAAGUGAUCAGUCUUGGCCGUGCAGCUGUGAGCAAACAGCAACAUUCUGGAGGCAAGAACAUGAACCCCAACACUAAGUGCCUCCGGAAAAAUGUGUCUGAUAUUCAGCAUGAAAGUUCUUCGGCACGUGUGGGAGAUGGCCCCAGCGUGAUGAUGCGGCCUGCCGUCAGUGACCCACCACCUCCCAAUCACUAUCCCACAUCUCCUCGUGCUGUGCCAGAUGUUAAUGACUGUUUAAUCGAUGACGACGAUGAUGGCAAGUUACUAAAAGAGGUGAUCAUGCUUGGCCUUUCAAGUGUGCAAAGCAUUGCUUUAAACUUACCACCACCACACACUGGCAAACAGCCAACAACGGUGCCUGAGAAGGAGGACGCCAGCCAUUGCAACACCACGUGCUGACAGUGACAAGCAAACUAGUGCUCUUAAAGACAGCCCUCUUGAACCCAUAAAAGGAGCUGUUUGCGACAGUGCGCAUAAAGAUACUCACGACGUGGAAAGAGAACAGAAAGAAAAGCUCGCUGUUCCUCCCGAGCCUCCAGCCGACUCCUCGGAUCGUGUUGUCCAGAUUCGUCUAAAGUUGCCAAAUGGUCGAUCGCUGACUCGACGCUUCCUCGCAUCAGCAGAGCUUGGUGUACUGCUGGUCUUUCUGGACUCUCUAGGCUAUCCACUCACCAGGUUCAAGAUACUCAAGAAUUGGCGCAGGCAAGAGCUUGCAACCGUAAACCCAAAACAGACUCUGGAACAACUCAAACUUUACCCGAAGAAGACUCUGACAAUAAAGGAGCGAUAGCCCCACUGGUUUUUA